This 351-nucleotide ribosomal RNA is filed under the name Triticum aestivum (bread wheat). Its description in RNAcentral is "partial small subunit ribosomal RNA". The record is from RNAcentral. Lineage: Eukaryota; Viridiplantae; Streptophyta; Magnoliopsida; Poales; Poaceae.
AUGAGGUGGCUCAAGUCGUUGGUUGGGCUGAGGAAGGUGGAGAGGCAGCAGCAGCGCCGCAAGGAGGAUGGCGACGCCGGCCCAACAAAAACAGAUGCCGUCGAUCAGUUCCACUUCCAGGAUCAGCACUCCCAGGAUCACGCUAGCCUUGUCGGACCAGAAGAGUUCCCUGAUGAAAAUGGUCCGUCAGAAGAUGAGUGCGAUACACCUUCAUGCUCAGGACCUGGUUUCAGUAUGCUUAGUGUGCCACUGCCUCAAACAGAAGAGGAGCUCAAAGAGAUCUGGGCUGCCACAAUUAUUCAGACUGCAUAUAGAGCCCUACUGGUAUUCACCUUUUUCUCUGUCGAUUAG